CCUACGGGAGGCAGCAGUGAGGAAUAUUGGUCAAUGGGAGAGAGCCUGAACCAGCCAAGCCGCGUGAGGGAAGACGGCCCUAUGGGUUGUAAACCUCUUUUGUCGGAGAACAAAACCCGGGACGUGUCCCGGACUGCGUGUAUCCGAAGAAAAAGCAUCGGCUAACUCCGUGCCAGCAGCCGCGGUAAUACGGAGGAUGCGAGCGUUCUCCGGAUUUAUUGGGUUUAACGGGUGCGUAGGCGGUCCGUUAAGUCAGCGGUAAAAUUGCGGGGCUCAACCCCGUCGCGCCGUUGAAACUGGCAGACUUGAGUUGGCGAGAAGUACGCGGAAUGCGCGGUGUAGCGGUGAAAUGCAUAGAUAUCGCGCAGAACUCCGAUUGCGAAGGCAGCGUACCGGCGCCAGACUGACGCUGAGGCACGAAAGCGUGGGGAUCGAACAGGAUUAGAUACCCCAGUAGUC
This 459-nucleotide ribosomal RNA is filed under the name uncultured bacterium. RNAcentral's name for it is "partial 16S ribosomal RNA". It matches the Rfam family "Bacterial small subunit ribosomal RNA", at positions 338 to 795 of the family's 1533-position model. The record is from RNAcentral.